RNAcentral lists this long non-coding RNA (4788 nucleotides) under Homo sapiens (human). RNAcentral describes it as "HSALNT0000426". Lineage: Eukaryota; Metazoa; Chordata; Mammalia; Primates; Hominidae. The record is from RNAcentral.
GUCCAUCUAGGUCCCAGGUCCAUCUAGGUCCCAGGUCCCAGGUCCAUCUAGCUAGGUCCCAGGUCCCAGGUCCGUCUAGGUCCCAGGUCCCAGGUCCGUCGAGGUCCCAGGUCUGUCCAGGUCCCAGGUCCGUCUGUCCCAGGUCCGUCCAGGUCCCAGGUCCGUCUGUCCCAGGUCUGUGCCUCCAUCCAUCAUCAGGUUUAAGUCACAUCAGUUGCUGUAGCAGGAUGAGCCGCAGACAAAAUCUCUCAAGACACCGAGUUGUAGAAGGAAGGGCUUUAUUCAGCUGGGAGCAUCAGCAAACUACUGCCUUAAAAUCUGAGCUCCCCGAGUGCACGAUUUCUGUCCCUUUUAAGGGCUCACAACACUAAACAUUUCACAUGAAAGGGUCGUGAUUGAUUUGAGCAAGCAGGCGGUACGUGACAGGCUGCAUGCACUGGCAGUCAGAGAGAAACAACACGGCAGGGAGUUUCACAAAUGUUCUUCUAUACAAUGUCUGGAAUCUAUGAAUAACAUCUGUUUCUAAGUUAUGAGUUGAUUUUUCACUACUGAGUUUAGGCCAGGCAGGCGCAGGCCUGGUUUCGGGCCUAGCGCCGGGCUGCCUGUCCUUGGUUUUACCUCCUUGUUGUUUUUUCUUAAAAUAGGUACUGAGUAUAAAACAAUAUGAGACGGUCUCUCUCUUCCCUCAUUCCCCCCUUUGAGACUCUCACUUUUUAUUAGUGGGAGUUCUCACUCAUUUUUGCUACUUAUGUCUUUUUGUGCAAUAGAUUGAUAGUGAUUUAUAUAGUAUGCUUGUGCUGAAGCAUUUUGGUGAACUAAGGUAGUGAUGAAGUUUUUUAUCAUUUGGAGAAAUACAGGUAUCAGACAAGGGAGCAGUAAGCAGGUUCCUAUUACUAUUGUUACUCUUGUUAUAAGAGUUUUAAAUCCUCCUAUUGCUGGGAACUAAUUUCUAAACAUGGCUCCUGGAUUGAGUCCAUGCCACACGUGCACGGGUACGUGUGCCAGUUUUGUUAUAUCUUUAACUAUAUUCUCAGCUACUUGCCCCUGAUCAUCUAUGUGUAGACAACGAUUAGUAAGGCUAAAUUUUUCACAAACUCCUCCUUCAGCUGCUAGCAAGUAGUCAAGAGCUGGUCUAUUUUGAGAGCUAGCAUUUCUCAUCAAAGUCUCUUGCCGGGCAAGAACAGUCAAGGCUUGACCAGGUUUAUAGUAAUAAUUUCUAAAACAGCUUGUAACCGUAUGAUUCGGUUGAGCACGUAGAUGGGGGUUCGAUAUCCCCAUGAGCCAUCUUCUGCCCAAGUGGCGGGUCCGUAGUAUUGUAUGAUUUUUUCAGGGGGCCAUUCAUCAUCUUUCCAAUCACUUAUGGCUAUGCUUCGUUUUUCGCGGGAAGCAUAGACUGGGAAGCCCAGACGUUCACCUGUUUUUAUGGGCAGUAAGAAGAAAGAUGGCUUCAUGGUGCCAAUUACACAGCUACCUGUCCAUUGAUCAGGCAGCUUAGCAUAAGCUCUGGGUCCACAUAUCCAGUAUAACCCGGUGGGGGCCGUCCAGUCCCGGUGGAGUUCUGGGUAGGCCCAAACAGUCUGCAACUUUGGAAAUUUACUGAAUGGAUUUCUUUCUGUGUAAUUGGAACUCCACCAUGUAACUGUUUUUGUGGUACCGUUAUACAGCUUUUGCCCAAGACAACCAAGCCGCCCUACAGGAUGAGUGAAUCCUUUUCCUUCUCAAGCUAUGCAAUACUGUCCAAUAAUUGAGACUUUUAGAACUCAAAAAUUGUCAGGGUGGUUCUUUUGGGCUGGGAAUUCAUCAGGAACUGGGUCUGUAGGAACUAAUUCUCGGGCUUCCCAUGGCCGCUGAUCUCCUGUUACGGUUCCUCCGCAAACACAGCUAGAGGUGACUUGUAGAGACUGGGCUCCAUGUUCGGCUAAUUGCAAAAACAAAGUUUUAGUUUUUGCUGGAAUCUCAGGUACUGACACAUUUAGUUCAUCAUAGAAAGUCUGCAAUAUGGUUGUGGAGAGCGUUAUUGAACCUCUCCUUCUAUUAGGAUGCUUACGCUAGGAUCUAAGCCUUUUCUGUCAAUGCCUAAUGUUAACACUUUUUUUUAUUCCACUUUGGGUCUGAAGGGUUUGUGAUUAUCAAUUCUAAAAGGUUGUAGCUCCCACUCGUGCAGGAGGGGCUGACUUUUCCUUUUUGGAGCCAAACAGGAUCUUUUUUAUCUUCUUUCCAAGUAGCCCAAAUGACACAAGACCAGUAUUGACACAUCUCACAUAAAUGUGAUUCUUGACAGAUAUACUUAUUUUUUUUUUACUGUGUAACUUUUUUUCCAAUUUAGAGAACUGCAUCCUAUUCCAUGCUGCUAACUAUUAAUAGCGGCACCAGCCUCAAAUUUUAAGGUUACAUUUUUGGGGACCCCUCUUUCUUCUGUUCUAGCUAUUAACUUACUUGUGUCACCUAGAAAAGGACCAGUCCUGUGAUCAUGGGAGGCUUAAAAUGGGUCAUAACACGCAUCAGUUUGGUUAUUUCCUGGGCUGCAUACCUUGGAUAGAAUAGCAUCAUACAAACAAGUUUCUUUUAGAAUCCUGGUACACUUACAAUAACCAUAAAAUAAUAGGACUGUAGCAAUCUUUUGUCUUACCUCAGUGACUUGAUGUAUAUACUGGAAACAGUUCUCAGUCUGAGGAAGGUCAGUUGAAGUCCUUACUGUACAAGUCCAAAUUUUAAGGAAAAUGAGUCCCGCGAUGAGUUUCCUCAUGCUUCGGCUGUACGUGGACCAGUCAGCUUCCGGGUGUGACUGGAGCAGGGCUUGUCGUCUUCUUCAGAGUCACUUUGCAGGGGUUGGCGAAGCUGCUCCCGUCCACGUACAGCUCGAGUCUACUGAUGUUUAAAGAUGGUCUCGGUGGUUGGGCCCCCUAGAAUAAACUGAGUCCAACACUUCUACACAGUUAAGUUUCACUGAGCUCUCUGAUACUGGGAGCAAGGUGGCAGGGUUUAGGGUUUUGCAAACUUCAGUGGUUAUGUGGGGAUUUUCACAGAGCAAGCUUUGGUAUCUAGUUAGUCUAGAAUUCAUUAGCUAAUGAUGUCCUUUGGUAUUUAUUAAAGUCACCACAGCAUGGGGGGACUUUAGGUUUUGCCUAAGAGUUAGCUUAUCUGCUUCUUGUGCUAACAGGGCCGUUGCUGCCAGGGCCCUUGGACAGGGGGGCAGCCUUUGGAAACCCCGUCUAGUUGUUUUGAGAGAUAGGCCACUGGCCUUGGCCAGGGCUCUACGGUCUGGGUUAAAACUCCAACUGCUAUUUUUUCUCUUUCUGACACAUAGAGUGUAAAGAGUUUUGUCAGGUCAGGUAGCCUCGGGGCUGGGGCUGACAUGAGUUUUUCUUUUUGACUCAUGAAAAGCUCGUUGCUGUUGGUUGGAAUGGAUGUAGUUUAUCUAAUCUACAUUUUUAUUGACUGUCAUCUACCAAAAUAUUGACUUAAAUCCUGUAACUAUUUGAUUUCAAGCUUUAAAUUGAUCUGGUGUCCCUUGUGGGGCUCCAAUUGCGUCUAAAUAGAUGUGAGAGUUGAAAGACCCAUAAGGGGCUUCUCUCGCUUUACGAUGUCUUUUUUUUUUUUUCUCCUCUGGUUGAUGAAAUGCCAGGGUGAAAGGGAUAGCCAAACGGACUAAAGCACAAGUGCCACUCUAGUUAUUCGGCAGAGUGCCCAGUACAGGUCCACCACAAUACCACCACACAUCCGCUCACAUCCGCUCAGGGAUGAACAAGGGCUGACUGAUUGAUAAGCUCUCGAAAAUUCUUAAGCUCACUGCAUCCCUUCCAGUCUCCAAGGACUGCUAAGUCUCCUCCCUGCCGUGAGAGACACGAAGGGAACUUAGUUUUGGGAGACGGAAGCUGGAUGGCCCUCGGGGGCUGACCCGCAGGGACUGCAGAAUGUAGCGGGGAGAGCUUGGCAUGACUUGCUGCUCCAGGCUGUAGAAUCCUGGAAAAGAGCUACCGUGCAGCCCACGCCUGGUCGACUGAAGGACCACCUUAGUGGAAGGGGGACAAUCAGAGCCUUUGGCCUGCCAUGUGCACGAGCAUCACAAUUGCUUUUGUUUAACAUCAGAUGGAAUAUCUGAUCCAUUUCAACCAGGCAUUUUGCAUCUUGGUAUGCUGUCUUAAUUGCCAAAGUUUGUUUUAAGUCUUAAACUUCCAUGAUCCUCUAGUAAAAUGAAUGUUUCCUUUAGCACCUAUUUUUAUUAGUUUUUAGACCAAAGAAAGCUAAACACCAUUUUAUAUUUAAUAAUGCUUCUUGUAUGAUUUUUAUACCAGAUAAGCUAAAUUUUACCUUUAUAUUAGUGUGUUAUUAAUGUUAAACUUAAUUUUAAUAAAACCUUGUAGACAUAUUUAUCCAAUUUUUCAUGUUUGACCAUAAGGUAAGAUUUUAUAGACUCUUUUUAACCUUUUAUAACUUUUGUUAAAGAGCAGGUUGAUGCUUUAAGAAAAACCUGUUGCAUUUUUACUUUAAUGUCCAGUUCACAGAAAAACUGGACGAUACCUUUUUAACUUUAGUUAACAUGUUUACACACAGAAUUUUCUUUACAAUUUACAUUUUAAAACUUGCUUAAACUCUUAAAAACAAUAAUUUUUUUAACCUUUUAAUGUAGGUAAAAAUCCAUAUUUUUAUGCCCCUUUAUAAUUUUUUUUACCAAAGGUAUAUUUUACUUUUCUUGUACACCUUGCACAUAAACUUUUUUUUUUAAUAGUACUCAGGGGCCAGGCGCGGUGGCUCACGCCUGUAAUCCCAGCACUUUGGGGGGCCGAG